AGGAUGAACGCUAGCGGCAGGCUUAACACAUGCAAGUCGAGGGGUAUAUGUCUUCGGAUAUAGAGACCGGCGCACGGGUGCGUAACGCGUAUGCAAUCUACCUUUUACAGAGGGAUAGCCCAGAGAAAUUUGGAUUAAUACCUCAUAGUAUAGCUCUACCGCAUGGUAGUACUAUUAAAGUCACAACGGUAAAAGAUGAGCAUGCGUCCCAUUAGCUAGUUGGUAAGGUAACGGCUUACCAAGGCAACGAUGGGUAGGGGUCCUGAGAGGGAGAUCCCCCACACUGGUACUGAGACACGGACCAGACUCCUACGGGAGGCAGCAGUGAGGAAUAUUGGACAAUGGGCGCAAGCCUGAUCCAGCCAUGCCGCGUGCAGGAUGACGGUCCUAUGGAUUGUAAACUGCUUUUGUACGAGAAGAAACACUGCUUCGUGAAGCAGCUUGACGGUAUCGUAAGAAUAAGGAUCGGCUAACUCCGUGCCGGCAGCCGCGGUAAUACGGAGGAUCCAAGCGUUAUCCGGAAUCAUUGGGUUUAAAGGGUCCGUAGGCGGUUUAGUAAGUCAGUGGUGAAAGCCCAUCGCUCAACGGUGGAACGGCCAUUGAUACUGCUGAACUUGAAUUAUUAGGAAGUAACUAGAAUAUGUAGUGUAGCGGUGAAAUGCUUAGAGAUUACAUGGAAUACCAAUUGCGAAGGCAGGUUACUACUAAUUGAUUGACGCUGAUGGACGAAAGCGUGGGGAGCGAACAGG
This 749-nucleotide ribosomal RNA is filed under the name uncultured Flavobacterium sp. RNAcentral's name for it is "bacterial SSU rRNA". It matches the Rfam family "Bacterial small subunit ribosomal RNA", at positions 26 to 776 of the family's 1533-position model. The record is from RNAcentral. Lineage: Bacteria; Pseudomonadati; Bacteroidota; Flavobacteriia; Flavobacteriales; Flavobacteriaceae.